AUGCUCACUUUGACAGCAGAUAUACUAAAAUUAAAAUGAUGCAGAGAAGAUUACGAUGGUCUCUGUGCUAGAAUGACACAAAUUUGUGAAGUGUUCUAUAUUUAU
Small nuclear RNA from Monodelphis domestica (gray short-tailed opossum), 105 nucleotides. The record is from Ensembl. Lineage: Eukaryota; Metazoa; Chordata; Mammalia; Didelphimorphia; Didelphidae.